UCCUCCAAGGCUAAAUACUCCUGACUGACCGAUAGUGAACCAGUACCGUGAGGGAAAGGCGAAAAGAACCCCGGCGAGGGGAGUGAAAAAGAACCUGAAACCGUGUACGUACAAGCAGUGGGAGCACCUUCGGGUGUGACUGCGUACCUUUUGUAUAAUGGGUCAGCGACUUAUAUUCUGUAGCAAGGUUAACCGUAUAGGGGAGCCGCAGGGAAACCGAGUCUUAACUGGGCGUUAAGUUGCAGGGUAUAGACCCGAAACCCGGUGAUCUAGCCAUGGGCAGGUUGAAGGUUGGGUAACACUAACUGGAGGACCGAACCGACUAAUGUUGAAAAAUUAGCGGAUGACUUGUGGCUGGGGGUGAAAGGCCAAUCAAACCGGGAGAUAGCUGGUUCUCCCCGAAAGCU
This 407-nucleotide ribosomal RNA is filed under the name Klebsiella pneumoniae. RNAcentral describes it as "partial 23S ribosomal RNA". It matches the Rfam family "Bacterial large subunit ribosomal RNA", at positions 456 to 867 of the family's 2925-position model. The record is from RNAcentral. Lineage: Bacteria; Pseudomonadati; Pseudomonadota; Gammaproteobacteria; Enterobacterales; Enterobacteriaceae.